UACGAAGGGGGCUAGCGUUGCUCGGAAUCACUGGGCGUAAAGCGCACGUAGGCGGAUUGCUAAGUCAGGGGUGAAAUCCUGGAGCUCAACUCCAGAACUGCCUUUGAUACUGGCGAUCUCGAGUCCGGAAGAGGCGAGUGGAACUCCUGGUGUAGCGGUGGAAUGCGCAGAUAUCAGGAAGAACACCAACGGCGAAGGCAGCUCGCUGGGACGGUACUGACGCUGAGGAGCGAAAGCCAGGGGAGCAAACGGG
RNAcentral lists this ribosomal RNA (253 nucleotides) under uncultured bacterium. RNAcentral describes it as "partial 16S ribosomal RNA". It matches the Rfam family "Bacterial small subunit ribosomal RNA", at positions 524 to 776 of the family's 1533-position model. The record is from RNAcentral.